This 632-nucleotide long non-coding RNA is filed under the name Chinchilla lanigera (long-tailed chinchilla). RNAcentral's name for it is "lncRNA (ENSCLAG00000025731.1)". Lineage: Eukaryota; Metazoa; Chordata; Mammalia; Rodentia; Chinchillidae. The record is from RNAcentral.
CCUGGGGGCUGGGGCAAGGCUGAGACCAGACUGUCAGCUUAGGGAGAUCCUGCUGCAAAGUAAAAAAACAGGGCUGGGGUGUAGCUCAGUGGUAGAGUGCCUCUCUUCCUAUGUCCCCAAAAAGGUCAGUUGUCACCUUGUACUUUUUCCUUCUGUCCUUUCCCCGUUGAAGAAACCGGUGCACUAAGCAAAGUUGAAGGCGCCGGGGGCUGUGGGGUAAAAUGAACGAGUGGAACGCUGCGGGCUGGUAAGCCGCCGUUCGCAGUCUAGUUCCGUGUAUGAUACGUAGCAGGCGAGCACAGCGGGCGAACAGGCACGCCGCUGUGUGUGCGCAGGGUGAGGAGGUCGCUCCGCCAAGCAGUGUCUCCCGGGCACGUGCUGAGACACGAAAGGGAGAACACAGCCCCAAAGAGCUGGCCCAGCUUGCCCUCUUACCCAAAGCCCAGGACAGGUCACAGUUUUAUUAGGGAGACAAACGUGAUGAAGUUUCACCUAACGGUGAGAUAAAUGCCCCGAGAGGCAUCUCCAAAGCGUUCAUGGGGACAUAAAGGAUCGGUGGGCUGACGGCAUCCGUGAGACCAGGCGAGUGUUUUGAGUCCCCAUGGAAGGGUCAUGGGGACAGCAUGGUUUUG